GUUUAUCAAAAACAUGGCCUUUUGAGUAUAAUUUAAGGUCUGACCUGCCCACUGAAUUUUAAAGGGCCGCGGUAAUUUGACCGUGCUAAGGUAGCAUAAUCAUUAGUUUUUUAAUUGGAAGCUAGAAUGAAUGGUUGGAUGAGAAAAUAACUGUCUUAAUUUAAUUUACAAUGAAUUUUAUUUUUAAGUUAAAAAGCUUAAGUAAGUUUCAAAGACGAGAAGACCCUAUAGAAUUUAAUAAAUUAAUUUAUUAAUAUUUUUAGUAUUAUUAUUUUAAUAAGUAAGGUUUAUUUAGUUGGGGUGAUUGUAAAAUUUAAUAAACUUUUAUUGUUAUAUAACAUAAAUAUAUGAUUUUUUGAUCCAACAAUGUUGAUUAUAAGAUUAAAUUACCUUAGGGAUAACAGCGUAAUUUUUUUUGAGAGUUCAAAUCGAAAAAAAAGUUUGCGACCUCGAUGUUGGAUUAAAAUUAAUUUUUGGUGUAGAGGCUAAGAAU
This 493-nucleotide ribosomal RNA is filed under the name Uraecha oshimana. RNAcentral describes it as "partial 16S rRNA". It matches the Rfam family "Bacterial large subunit ribosomal RNA", at positions 1802 to 2569 of the family's 2925-position model. Lineage: Eukaryota; Metazoa; Arthropoda; Insecta; Coleoptera; Cerambycidae. The record is from RNAcentral.